AUGGAAGUGUUUCAUGAUCUGUGCUCAAAGGAUCCUCAAUUCACGUAUCGAGUUCAGGCGGACAAAGAGGGCAGGAUCAGCAACUUGAUGUGGGCUACAGGGAACAGUAGGCUCCAGUACAACUUCUUUGGGGAUGUCAUUACAUUUGACACAACCUAUAGGACCAACCUGUAUGACAUGCCAUUUGGGUUAUUUGUUGGAGUAAAAACCAUUUCCAGAGUAUCAUACUAG
Molecule: ribosomal RNA, 231 nt
Filed under: Triticum aestivum (bread wheat)
Lineage: Eukaryota; Viridiplantae; Streptophyta; Magnoliopsida; Poales; Poaceae
Description: partial small subunit ribosomal RNA
Source: RNAcentral